This is a long non-coding RNA of Xiphophorus hellerii (green swordtail), 612 nucleotides long. RefSeq lists it as uncharacterized. Lineage: Eukaryota; Metazoa; Chordata; Actinopteri; Cyprinodontiformes; Poeciliidae. The transcript is spliced from 2 exons. The record is from RefSeq and is a predicted model, not a curated record.
AGGAAAAUCUUCCUUUACCAGGAAGAAACCUGCAACAGAACCAGAACCAGAACCAGAGCCAGAACCAGCAGUCAUCUGACGACCGGCUGGAGGAAACAGAUGAACAAAUUUCUAAGUUAAUGAAAAGUAAAAAGUUAAAAUCAGGAGGAUGUUUGGUUAUUGGCAGCUGAGGCAGAACGAGAGGAAACCAGAGAAAACAUGAAGCUGAAAAUGAAAAAAUGAAGUAAUGAUGGAGGAGGAGAAGAAGGAAGGGUGGAAGACUAAGUCUGUCCUCCAGCGAUAUCUGAGUAAAGCCUUCAGAACCGAACUCUGGUGACCCGGGAUGAGAGCUGGGAUCAUGACGGAUCAGAACCAGCCCGUCAGUACUGCAGGGCGACAUCCCAUCAUCCCUCAGGAACAUUGAAACCCUCCAGCAGCAUCAGCAAGAAGCCAGCCGCUCCAGCACAGCUGAUCUCCGCUCCUUAGGACUGAACCGAGUCCAGAACCGCAGGGAGCAGACGGUACUGCAGAACCUCCUCCACCUAAACCACCCAGAGUUACGAGCUUAGGUCUCUGGUCCGCUUGGCGUUCACAUUCAAACCAAUCUAUUUAUAAAAUCCUGCUUUCCAUACA